CAUACCCUCAGAUCUGGGAUAACUCCGGGAAACUGGAGAUAAUACCGGAUAAUCCGUGAACGCUGGAAUGCCUUACGGUUUAAAGCUUUAGCGUCUGAGGAUGGGUCUGCGGCCGAUUAGGUAGUUGCUGGGGUAACGUCCCAACAAGCCGAUAAUCGGUACGGGUUGUGAGAGCAAGAGCCCGGAGAUGGAUUCUGAGACACGAAUCCAGGUCCUACGGGGCGCAGCAGGCGCGAAAACUUUACACUGCGCGAAAGCGCGAUAAGGGGACCUCGAGUGCGUGCGCAAUGCGUACGCUUUUCAUACGCCUAAAAAGCAUGUGGAAUAAGAGCCGGGCAAGACCGGUGCCAGCCGCCGCGGUAACACCGGCGGCUCGAGUGGUGGCCGCUAUUAUUGGGCUUAAAGGGUCCGUAGCCGGACCAGUUAGUCCCUUGGGAAAUCUUACGGCUUAACCGUAAGGCUGCCAAUGGAUACUGCUGGUCUUGGGACCGGGAGAGGCAAGAGGUACCUCAGGGGUAGGAGUGAAAUCCUGUAAUCCUUGAGGGACCGCCAGUGGCGAAGGCGUCUUGCUAGAACGGGUCCGACGGUGAGGGACGAAAGCUAGGGGCACGAACCGGAUUAGAUACCCGGGUAGUCCUAGCCGUAAACGAUGCGAGCUAGGUGUCACGUGGAUUGCGAAUCCAUGUGGUGCCGUAGGGAAACCGUGAAGCUCGCCGCCUGGGAAGUACGGCCGCAAGGCUGAAACUUAAAGGAAUUGGCGGGGGAGCA
Molecule: ribosomal RNA, 768 nt
Filed under: uncultured archaeon
Lineage: Archaea
Description: bacterial SSU rRNA
Rfam family: Archaeal small subunit ribosomal RNA
Source: RNAcentral